This 1538-nucleotide ribosomal RNA is filed under the name Enterobacter hormaechei. RNAcentral describes it as "bacterial SSU rRNA". It matches the Rfam family "Bacterial small subunit ribosomal RNA". Lineage: Bacteria; Pseudomonadati; Pseudomonadota; Gammaproteobacteria; Enterobacterales; Enterobacteriaceae. The record is from RNAcentral.
AAAUUGAAGAGUUUGAUCAUGGCUCAGAUUGAACGCUGGCGGCAGGCCUAACACAUGCAAGUCGAACGGUAACAGGAAGCAGCUUGCUGCUUCGCUGACGAGUGGCGGACGGGUGAGUAAUGUCUGGGAAACUGCCUGAUGGAGGGGGAUAACUACUGGAAACGGUAGCUAAUACCGCAUAAUGUCGCAAGACCAAAGAGGGGGACCUUCGGGCCUCUUGCCAUCGGAUGUGCCCAGAUGGGAUUAGCUAGUAGGUGGGGUAACGGCUCACCUAGGCGACGAUCCCUAGCUGGUCUGAGAGGAUGACCAGCCACACUGGAACUGAGACACGGUCCAGACUCCUACGGGAGGCAGCAGUGGGGAAUAUUGCACAAUGGGCGCAAGCCUGAUGCAGCCAUGCCGCGUGUAUGAAGAAGGCCUUCGGGUUGUAAAGUACUUUCAGCGGGGAGGAAGGCGAUAAGGUUAAUAACCUUGUCGAUUGACGUUACCCGCAGAAGAAGCACCGGCUAACUCCGUGCCAGCAGCCGCGUAAUACGGAGGGUGCAAGCGUUAAUCGGAAUUACUGGGCGUAAAGCGCACGCAGGCGGUCUGUCAAGUCGGAUGUGAAUCCCCGGCUCAACCUGGGAACUGCAUUCGAAACUGGCAGGCUAGAGUCUUGUAGAGGGGGGUAGAAUUCCAGGUGUGCGGUGAAAUGCUUAGAGAUCUGGGGAUACCGUGGCGAAGGCGGCCCCCUGGACAAACUGACGCUCAGUGCGAAAGCGUGGGGAGCACAGGAUUAGAUACCCUGGUAGUCCACGCCGUAAACGAUGUCGACUUGGAGGUUGUGCCCUUGAGGCGUGGCUUCCGGAGCUAACGCGUUAAGUCGACCGCCUGGGAGUACGGCCGCAAGGUUAAACUCAAAUGAAUUGACGGGGGCCCGCACAAGCGGUGGAGCAUGUGGUUUAAUUCGAUGCAACGCGAAGAACCUUACCUACUCUUGACAUCCAGAGAACUUUCCAGAGAUGGAUUGGUGCCUUCGGGAACUCUGAGACAGGUGCUGCAUGGCUGUCGUCAGCUCGUGUUGUGAAAUGUUGGGUUAAGUCCCGCAACGAGCGCAACCCUUAUCCUUUGUUGCCAGCGGUUAGGCCGGGAACUCAAAGGAGACUGCCAGUGAUAAACUGGAGGAAGGUGGGGAUGACGUCAAGUCAUCAUGGCCCUUACGAGUAGGGCUACACACGUGCUACAAUGGCGCAUACAAAGAGAAGCGACCUCGCGAGAGCAAGCGGACCUCAUAAAGUGCGUCGUAGUCCGGAUUGGAGUCUGCAACUCGACUCCAUGAAGUCGGAAUCGCUAGUAAUCGUGGAUCAGAAUGCCACGGUGAAUACGUUCCCGGGCCUUGUACACACCGCCCGUCACACCAUGGGAGUGGGUUGCAAAAGAAGUAGGUAGCUUAACCUUCGGGAGGGCGCUUACCACUUUGUGAUUCAUGACUGGGGUGAAGUCGUAACAAGGUAACCGUAGGGGAACCUGCGGUUGGAUCACCUCCUUACCUUAAAGAA